This 253-nucleotide ribosomal RNA is filed under the name uncultured bacterium. Its description in RNAcentral is "partial 16S ribosomal RNA". It matches the Rfam family "Bacterial small subunit ribosomal RNA", at positions 524 to 776 of the family's 1533-position model. The record is from RNAcentral.
UACGGGGGGGGUAAGCGUUGUUCGGAAUUACUGGGCGUAAAGGGCUCGUAGGCGGCCAACUAAGUCAGACGUGAAAUCCCUCAGCUUAACUGGGGAACUGCGUCUGAGACUGGAUGGCCUGAGUGCAGGAGAGGAACGCGGAAUUCCAGGUGUAGCGGUGAAAUGCGUAGAUAUCUGGAGGAACACCGGUGGCGAAGGCGGCGUUCUGGACCGAGACUGACGCUGAGGCGCGAAAGCGUGGGGAGCAAACAGG